Long non-coding RNA from Phyllostomus discolor (pale spear-nosed bat), 1099 nucleotides. RefSeq lists it as uncharacterized. The record is from RefSeq and is a predicted model, not a curated record. NCBI's taxonomy places the organism in Eukaryota, Metazoa, Chordata, Mammalia, Chiroptera, Phyllostomidae. The transcript has 3 exons.
UUUCUGACAUAGUAACUUUUUAUUUUCCUGUCUAUUAGACUUUAUAAAAGGCUACUUCAUACAUGAUCUCAUUUGACGAUCAUAACAGAGCAGAUAAAAUUACAGCAUUCUCAUUUUGUAGCCUGAGCCUCCCAAAGGUUUGAUGGUUUGCCUAAGCACCUACAACUGGUUCGUUGUCGAAUAUGUUUUCUAAAUUACGUGAGAUAAUCUAUAUCUACACACAUUCAUAUACAGUUGAUUUUCAUUAUUCAUUGAGUUAAGUUCUAUAAAGUUGUCACAAACACUGAGUUAGCCAAUAGUGACCCAUUACCUCUAGGGGAAAUACAGGAUUAGGUUCCCAUGAGCCUCCCUUGACAACUUAUUUGCCAACCAGUCAGCACGUAACCUUGUUUCAUGUGUGUCUCCACUGAAAGAGACAUUACACACACACACAUAUUUGGUUUAUUAACAUGGAACAGCACUGUAGCUCAUGCCUGACUGAAGCUUCAUUAACACUAGACAGCACCUAUACGUGGAGACCCUUUUAAGUGGUGAAAUCACCCACAAAAAACCCACAAAAUAUGCAAAUGAUGUGUCACUGAACAGAUGAUGAGAAGGACACUUGUGUACAGUUUGGUGGCUGGCAUAUGAAGGCAGAGCAUCACCUUGUUCAGUUCCCUCUAGACAGACUCAGGACUUGCACUUUCUGUCACUCUGUCCACGUCCACAGAUGGCUACGGAAGCACCAUGAGUAUUGCUUGUAGGUGAAGUCGCAAAUCCCACAAGUAGCGAAGACCAGCUCCAUGUGUGGUAGGCACAUACGUACUGCUGAAAUGAAAUCUUGAACCACAAGGCUCUUGAGAGUCACUGUUUGAGAAGGCAAAAUGCACAAAUAAAGAAGUUCUGUAACUAUUUCCUAGCUGUAGAUGUCGCCAUCCUUUUAGCCCCUCCCCAUGUACAUGCAGCGGUCUUAGAGGAAGAACUGUCAGACCUCCAAAAGCAACCCGUCAUUCCCUACCUAGGGUUCCCUUGAUGCAGCAAUUGCUAAAGAAUGACAAUGACAAAUUUAGCUCCAUGUGGCCUCCAAGGAGCCCCAGUGCUAACUGUCUUCCCCUCUUGU